CGUCGUCAGAUCAAGAUUACGGAUCAAGUUCCUAGAGUAUUCAAACCUGCACAAAGUGAUUCCCGUGGUUUUAAAACUCACACGAUAAGCAAGUGUCCUCCAAUUGCUAAUGACAUUAUUGAUCUAACUGGUUUGAAUGAGAAAGUCGAUGCUAAUGCUUUAGAAAAACAAUUUUCCACAAUUACCCUUGACAGCGACACUCCUCGUGAUUCACCUGACACUUGUAACAAGAAAAUACGCGUUACUGUUGAGUGGUGAUAGUGAAGACAGACUGGAGGUUGCAAUCAAUGAAGUUUUUUAUCAAGGAGUAAAAAUAAACAAUAAUACUGCGGGCAAAAAAAUUAAUGCAUCUGACGUCGAGAAAAACAUCGAGAAGGAAAAUGUUUAUGAAGAUAACAAGACAAAUGAGGGUUAUAUUAUUGAGGAUGUCGAGGAGGAUGGCGAAAAUAAUGCAUCUGGCAUUAGGAUAGAUGGCGAUGAUAGAGCAUUUGAUGUUGAGAACGAUGAUGAGAAAGGUACAUUUGACUUUGGCAGGAAUGCUAAAAAUUAUGCAUCUGACGUUAGGAUGGAUGACGAUAACUGUGUAUCUAAUGUUGAGAACGAUGAUCAGAACGGUGCAUUUGACUUUGGCCAACAUGGUGAAAAUAAUGCAUCUGACGUUAGGAUGGAUGACGAUAACUGUGUAUCUAUUGUUGAGAGCGAUGAUGAGAAUGGCACGUCUGAUGUUAAGAGUGAUGAUUAAAAUGUUGUGUCUGAUGUUGAGUAUGAUAACAAGAAUGGUACACCCCAUGUUCAGAAUGAUG
This is a long non-coding RNA of Xenia sp. Carnegie-2017, 803 nucleotides long. RefSeq lists it as uncharacterized. Lineage: Eukaryota; Metazoa; Cnidaria; Anthozoa; Malacalcyonacea; Xeniidae. The record is from RefSeq and is a predicted model, not a curated record. The transcript is spliced from 3 exons.